GAUGAACGCUGGCGGCGUGCUUAACACAUGCAAGUCGAACGGAAAGGCCCAAGCUUGCUUGGGUGCUCGAGUGGCGAACGGGUGAGUAACACGUGGGUGAUCUGCCCUGCACUUCGGGAUAAGCCUGGGAAACUGGGUCUAAUACCGGAUAGGACCACAUUUUGGAUGGUGUGGUGGAAAGUUUUUCGGUGUGGGAUGAGCUCGCGGCCUAUCAGCUUGUUGGUGGGGUAAUGGCCUACCAAGGCGUCGACGGGUAGCCGGCCUGAGAGGGUGUACGGCCACAUUGGGACUGAGAUACGGCCCAGACUCCUACGGGAGGCAGCAGUGGGGAAUAUUGCACAAUGGGCGCAAGCCUGAUGCAGCGACGCCGCGUGGGGGAUGACGGCCUUCGGGUUGUAAACUCCUUUCGCUAGGGACGAAGCGCAAGUGACGGUACCUGGAGAAGAAGCACCGGCUAACUACGUG
Molecule: ribosomal RNA, 465 nt
Filed under: uncultured bacterium
Lineage: Bacteria
Description: partial 16S ribosomal RNA
Rfam family: Bacterial small subunit ribosomal RNA
Source: RNAcentral